AUUGAGAUGACUGAAUUAGGUAAUAAACUGUAAAUUUAUUUAUGGAUAUUUUUCCUCUCAAUA
Molecule: transfer RNA, 63 nt
Filed under: Magicicada septendecim (seventeen-year cicada)
Lineage: Eukaryota; Metazoa; Arthropoda; Insecta; Hemiptera; Cicadidae
Also listed under: 1 other name
Description: tRNA-Tyr
Source: RNAcentral